AGCACGCAUAUGAGCAUAAGGAUCUGCAUACCCUUGGUGGUUCAUAUACGGUGGUGGUGGUGCUUGUUGUCCAUACCCUUGGCCGUAUCCUUGAUUCAUAUAAGAUUCAUGUACGUAUCCUUGGUUCACAUACGGUUCUUGAACAUAAGAUUGAGAUGAUUGACCUUGCAUCAUGUAGUGUUGUUGACCGUACACUUGUCCUGGUGGGUUGUAAUACAUCGGCUGAGGUUGAUACCCAUAACCGCUAUACUCCGAUUUCUUCACAUCCAACGUAGCACCACCGUCACCUCCUCCGGCUGAG
This 301-nucleotide long non-coding RNA is filed under the name Brassica rapa (field mustard). RNAcentral describes it as "long non-coding RNA (BRAP_LNC000793)". The record is from RNAcentral. Lineage: Eukaryota; Viridiplantae; Streptophyta; Magnoliopsida; Brassicales; Brassicaceae.